This 1020-nucleotide ribosomal RNA is filed under the name Cibicides wuellerstorfi. RNAcentral's name for it is "SSU rRNA". It matches the Rfam family "Eukaryotic small subunit ribosomal RNA", at positions 1160 to 1826 of the family's 1831-position model. Lineage: Eukaryota; Foraminifera; Rotaliida; Cibicididae. The record is from RNAcentral.
AAGGGCACCACAAGAACGUGGAGCAUGUGGCUUAAUUUGACUCAACGCGGGAAAUCUUACCGGGUCCGGACACACUGAGGAUUGACAGGCAAUAUUAAUACUUUGCUUCGGCAUUGUAUUAUGUUAAAUAUGCUAGUCCUUUCAUGAUUAUGUGAUAGGUGGUGCAUGGCCGUUCUUAGUUCGUGGAGUGAUCUGUCUGCUUAAUUGCGUUUCACUAAGGGCCUAUAAAUUUACGUAUGUUGUAUCGCACUUUGACCCCUUUCUUUAAUUAGAAAGCGCGUGUCUUAGUUUCGCUUUGCUCAUACAAUUAGGUCCUGAAAGCAACGAACGUGACCGCAACCUCUUGUUGCCUUUAUACCAAACAUGUUUAUUCAUUUUUUAAUGUUCAUUCAUGAAAAAAGGCUUUUUAAACUAGAGGGACCGCUGUUACUUUCUUAAACCAGAGGAAGGUUGCGGCAAUAACAGGUCUGUGAUGCCCUUAGAUGUUCCGGGCUGCACACGUGCUACAAUGAUUAUUGCAGUGAGCAUCUCAUUUUUACACACCGCAUGCGCGAGUCCAUUUAUUCACCUUCGGGUGUUUUAAAUGUGUACCUCUGCGCGCGGUAAAGCCUGCUUCGAAAGUAAGUGGGUAAUCAAUUAGAAGUAAUGAUUUCCUUUUUUAGCACACAUAUAUACGGCGUCUAUGCCCGGGUUACCUUGUUGUAGCUUUUGUGUGUAUAGAUGUUUUUUCCGUAUGUGCGAUUGUCAAUUCAUGGUGGGGACAGACCAUUGUUAAUUGUUGGUCUCGGUCUUAACUAGGAAUGCCUUGUACGGGUCUUUGGUUCAACAAACCACCCGGAAUACGUCCCUGCCCUUUGUACACACCGCCCGUCGCUCUUACCGAUGGACUUCUCUGUGAGUUUGAGGGACUGGGAACGCAGGAAUUUAUUUCUGCACACCUAUGGAAACUUAAACGAACAGUGUGGUCUAAAGGAAAGAGAAGUCGUAACAAGGCAUCGGUAGGUGAACCUGCAGAAGGAU